UGCAAGUCGAACGCUGAAGCUUGGUGCUUGCACUGGGUGGAUGAGUGGCGAACGGGUGAGUAAUACGUGAGUAACCUGCCCUUGACUCUGGGAUAAGCCUGGGAAACUGGGUCUAAUACUGGAUAUGACAUGUCACCGCAUGGUGGUGUGUGGAAAGGGUUUUACUGGUUUUGGAUGGGCUCACGGCCUAUCAGCUUGUUGGUGGGGUAAUGGCUCACCAAGGCGACGACGGGUAGCCGGCCUGAGAGGGUGACCGGCCACACUGGGACUGAGACACGGCCCAGACUCCUACGGGAGGCAGCAGUGGGGAAUAUUGCACAAUGGGCGGAAGCCUGAUGCAGCGACGCCGCGUGAGGGAUGACGGCCUUCGGGUUGUAAACCUCUUUCAGCACGGAAGAAGCGAAAGUGACGGUACGUGCAGAAGAAGCGCCGGCUAACUACGUGCCAGC
Molecule: ribosomal RNA, 449 nt
Filed under: activated sludge bacterium KC26
Lineage: Bacteria
Description: bacterial SSU rRNA
Rfam family: Bacterial small subunit ribosomal RNA
Source: RNAcentral